AUUGAACGCUGGCGGAAUGCUUUACACAUGCAUGUCGAACGGUAGAGGGGGCAACCCCUCGAGAGUGGCGAACGGGUGAGUAAUAUAUCGGAACGUGCCCAGUCGUGGGGGAUAACGUAGCGAAAGUUACGCUAAUACCGCAUACGAUCUAAGGAUGAAAGCGGGGGAUCGCAAGACCUCGCGCGAUUGGAGCGGCCGAUAUCAGAUUAGGUAGUUGGUGGGGUAAAGGCUCACCAAGCCAACGAUCUGUAGCUGGUCUGAGAGGACGAACAGCCACACUGGAACUGAGACACGGUCCAGACUCCUACGGGAGGCAGCAGUGGGGAAUUUUGGACAAUGGACGCAAGUCUGAUCCAGCCAUUCCGCGUGCAGGAUGAAGGCCCUCGGGUUGUAAACUGCUUUUGUACGGAACGAAAAGGUCUCUCUUAAUACGGGGGACUCAUGACGGUACCGUAAGAAUAAGCACCGGCUAACUACGUGCCAGCCGCCGCAGUAA
Molecule: ribosomal RNA, 496 nt
Filed under: uncultured bacterium
Lineage: Bacteria
Description: partial 16S ribosomal RNA
Rfam family: Bacterial small subunit ribosomal RNA
Source: RNAcentral